RNAcentral lists this ribosomal RNA (253 nucleotides) under uncultured bacterium. RNAcentral's name for it is "partial 16S ribosomal RNA". It matches the Rfam family "Bacterial small subunit ribosomal RNA", at positions 524 to 776 of the family's 1533-position model. The record is from RNAcentral.
UACGGAGGGGGCGAGCGUUAUUCGGAAUUAUUGGGCGUAGAGGGCGCGUAGGCGGCCCGGUAAGUCAAAGGUGAAAUCCCUCGGCUCAACUGAGGAACUGCCUUUGAAACUGUCGGGCUUGAGGCCGGGAGGGGGUAGCGGAAUUCCCAGUGUAGCGGUGAAAUGCGUAGAUAUUGGGAGGAACACCGGUGGCGAAGGCGGCUACCUGGACCGGUUCUGACGCUGAUGCGCGAAAGCGUGGGUAGCAAACAGG